UAGGGAAUCUUCCGCAAUGGACGAAAGUCUGACGGAGCAACGCCGCGUGAGUGAUGAAGGUUUUCGGAUCGUAAAGCUCUGUUGUUAGGGAAGAACAAGUGCGAGAGUAACUGCUCGCACCUUGACGGUACCUAACCAGAAAGCCACGGCUAACUACGUGCCAGCAGCCGCGGUAAUACGUAGGUGGCAAGCGUUGUCCGGAAUUAUUGGGCGUAAAGGGCUCGCAGGCGGUUUCUUAAGUCUGAUGUGAAAGCCCCCGGCUCAACCGGGGAGGGUCAUUGGAAACUGGGAAACUUGAGUGCAUAAGAGGAGAGUGGAAUUCCACGUGUAGCGGUGAAAUGCGUAGAGAUGUGGAGGAACACCAGUGGCGAAGGCGACUCUCUGGUCUGUAACCGACGCUGAGGAGCGAAAGCGUGGGGAGCGAACA
This 427-nucleotide ribosomal RNA is filed under the name uncultured bacterium. Its description in RNAcentral is "bacterial SSU rRNA". It matches the Rfam family "Bacterial small subunit ribosomal RNA", at positions 355 to 774 of the family's 1533-position model. The record is from RNAcentral.